Equus caballus (horse) is the source of this 145-nucleotide microRNA precursor. The record is from Ensembl. NCBI's taxonomy places the organism in Eukaryota, Metazoa, Chordata, Mammalia, Perissodactyla, Equidae.
GAGGGUCGGUUUCAUCUAGGAGGGGAAGGUCAGAAGGAGAAGCGACUGGCUUUGGAUAUGCUUCCAUGGGGUUCAGGUUUUCCAUGGCCAGUUGGGGCUCUUUCCCUGCUGAGCCUGGGCCUCAUGUUCAAAGGUGCUUCUGAGG